Molecule: ribosomal RNA, 471 nt
Filed under: uncultured bacterium
Lineage: Bacteria
Description: bacterial SSU rRNA
Rfam family: Bacterial small subunit ribosomal RNA
Source: RNAcentral
ACUCCUACGGGAGGCAGCAGUCGAGAAUAAUUCACAAUGGGGGCAACCCUGAUGGUGCAACGCCGCGUGGAGGAUGACGGUCUUCGGAUUGUAAACUCCUGUCAUCCGGGAGUAAGACCUGGGAGUGAACAGCUCACAGGGUUGAUAGUACCGGAAGAGGAAGGGACGGCUAACUUCGUGCCAGCAGCCGCGGUAAUACGAAGGUCCCGAGCGUUGUUCGGAAUCACUGGGCGUAAAGGGAGCGUAGGCGGCGCGGUAAGUCAGAUGUGAAAUCCCGGGGCUCAACCCCGGAACUGCAUCCGAUACUGCCGUGCUAGAGCAAUGGAGGGGUAGCCGGAAUUCUCGGUGUAGCAGUGAAAUGCGUGGAUAUCGAGAGGAACACUCGUGGCGAAGGCGGGCUACUGGACAUUUGCUGACGCUGAGGCUCGAAGGCCGGGGGAGCGAAAGGGAUUAGAUACCCUGGUAGGCUCU